CAGCAGUGGGGGAUAUUGCACAAUGGGGGGAACCCUGAUGCAGCGACGCCGCGUGGGUGAAGGAGCGUUUCGGCGCGUAAAGCCCUAUCGGCAGGGAAGAAGGAGGACGGUACCUGACUAAGAAGCCCCGGCUAACUACGUGCC
This 144-nucleotide ribosomal RNA is filed under the name uncultured bacterium. RNAcentral's name for it is "partial 16S ribosomal RNA". It matches the Rfam family "Bacterial small subunit ribosomal RNA", at positions 349 to 509 of the family's 1533-position model. The record is from RNAcentral.